Molecule: long non-coding RNA, 390 nt
Organism: Liolophura sinensis
Lineage: Eukaryota; Metazoa; Mollusca; Polyplacophora; Chitonida; Chitonidae
Exons: 5
Source: RefSeq, a predicted model, not a curated record
GAUGCAAUGAUUAUGUACAUAUAGAAAUUACCUGGCAGGACACAUCUUCUUUCUUGUCAAGCACAACACUAGCUAUUGAAGUACAAGUUUUAUCAACGAACAGGGGCAAACUGACUGUAUAACCACACCUCUAUACCAUAGUUCACCAUGUGCCUACGGACAUUGGUCUUAGUGAUUGCAAUAUUGCAUACAUCUUCCGCAGCUGCGCUCAAUGAAGUGUGUACCUCUGACGAUGAAUGCGACGUGAGUGGAUCUGCUUGUAAGCCGAGUUCCUGUGACGGUUUUGUCUGUAUGUGCGAUGUUGGCUUUCGUGCCCAUAAAAAUGGCGCACAAUGUAUGAACGUUAGCCUUAUCGGGGGUGAAUGCUCGGUGGACGCGGAAUGUCUGCCA